ACCAACAGGGAUUGCCUCAGUAACGGCGAGUGAAGCGGCAAAAGCUCAAAUUUGAAAUCUGGUACCUUUGGUGCCCGAGUUGUAAUUUGAAGAUAGUUUUCUGGUGCUGGCCCUUGUCUAUGUUCCUUGGAACAGGACGUCACAGAGGGUGAGAAUCCCGUCUGGCGGGGUGUCCAGUGCUUUGUAGAUUUCUAUCGACGAGUCGAGUUGUUUGGGAAUGCAGCUCUAAGUGGGUGGUAAAUUCCAUCUAAAGCUAAAUAUUGGCGAGAGACCGAUAGCGAACAAGUACAGUGAUGGAAAGAUGAAAAGAACUUUGAAAAGAGAGUGAAAAAGUACGUGAAAUUGUUGAAAGGGAAGGGUAUUAGAUCAGACUUGGUGUUUUGUGAUUAUCUUCCCUUCUUGGGUUGUGCACUCGCAUUUCACUGGGCCAGCAUCGGUUCGGGUGGUAAGAUAAUGACAUUGGAACGUGGCACUACCUUCGGGUGGUGUGUUAUAGCCCUUGUUGAUGUUGCCUACCUGGACCGAGGACUGCGGCUUUUGCCUAGGAUGCUGGCGUAAUGAUCUAACACCGC
RNAcentral lists this ribosomal RNA (572 nucleotides) under Williopsis saturnus. RNAcentral's name for it is "Cyberlindnera saturnus partial 26S ribosomal RNA". It matches the Rfam family "Eukaryotic large subunit ribosomal RNA", at positions 64 to 648 of the family's 3401-position model. The record is from RNAcentral. Lineage: Eukaryota; Fungi; Ascomycota; Saccharomycetes; Phaffomycetales; Wickerhamomycetaceae.